This 203-nucleotide long non-coding RNA is filed under the name Vigna radiata. RNAcentral's name for it is "long non-coding RNA (VRAD_LNC000686)". The record is from RNAcentral. Lineage: Eukaryota; Viridiplantae; Streptophyta; Magnoliopsida; Fabales; Fabaceae.
AAAUUUUGUGUUAUUGAUAACGGUUGAAAAACAAUUAUUUUCAUACUUAAUUUUGAUAUUAAAUCACACCCUUUAUGGCUUAGAAUUAGCUUGAAAUCAUGCAUUUUUAUUAAGUUAGAGAAUAAGAGAGUCAAAGUUGGUUUUCUUGGUUUUAUGCUUGGUUUCCCUUCAUUUUGUAAGUUUUUGGAAUGAAUUGGAAGAAA